AAUCAAAAAGAUAUAUGCAUCCAUAAACAAAGGAUGAGACAGAAGAACAAAAAGUAAAGAGACUCCAACAUAGCAUGCAUGCUAUAGAAUCAAUCAAAUUAACAAACUCCAAAAAUUUAAUAUAUAAAACCGGCAAAAUAUCAUGCAUGCAGAGAUCGAAGAACACAAAUGGAUACAGCAUAACAAGCUCAUCUUGAAUUCUCACUCUCAUCCAUGAAUCAAAGGAUGAAAAAGGCGGAAGAACAAGCAUAAAUCGAAAUCUCAUGAACUCGCCCAACAGCGCAAAUCCAAAAAU
Molecule: unclassified non-coding RNA, 295 nt
Filed under: Hevea brasiliensis (rubber tree)
Lineage: Eukaryota; Viridiplantae; Streptophyta; Magnoliopsida; Malpighiales; Euphorbiaceae
Source: RNAcentral